RNAcentral lists this ribosomal RNA (253 nucleotides) under uncultured bacterium. RNAcentral's name for it is "partial 16S ribosomal RNA". It matches the Rfam family "Bacterial small subunit ribosomal RNA", at positions 524 to 776 of the family's 1533-position model. The record is from RNAcentral.
UACGUAGGGUGCGAGCGUUGUCCGGAAUUACUGGGCGUAAAGAGCUCGUAGGUGGUUUGUCGCGUUGUUCGUGAAAACCGGGGGCUUAACCCUCGGCGUGCGGGCGAUACGGGCAGACUGGAGUACUGCAGGGGAGACUGGAAUUCCAGGUGUAGCGGUGAAAUGCGUUGAUAUCUGGAGGAACACCGGUGGCGAAGGCGGCAUCCUGGACCGAUACUGACGCUGAGGAGCGAAAGCCAGGGGAGCAAACGGG